ACACACACAGAUACAGAGGCGAC
This 23-nucleotide microRNA is filed under the name Oreochromis niloticus (Nile tilapia). RNAcentral's name for it is "oni-miR-10818". Lineage: Eukaryota; Metazoa; Chordata; Actinopteri; Cichliformes; Cichlidae. The record is from miRBase by way of RNAcentral.